AUUCUUUUAAAGUCUUUGAUUUUAACUUUACCAAUUUUAUGCUUUACUUUGUGUUUGAACAGGCUUCGAGAGAACACCACAAGUAUAUAUAAAAUUGGGUAAACACAUCAAUACAGAACCAAAGCUCAAAGAUAACCAAACCAGAAAAGAGAUGAGAGGGAAAGAGAUACAAACACGAGAGAUUACAAGGUUCACCACCAAAAUUUGGGGUUACAUCCUUGGUGAGCUACCUCAGAGAAAGCUCGAGUCAAAUCCAUUAUCAAGAUCACAGUUUACAACAGAUUUCUGGAGAUUUCAGCCACAAGUCAGCUGAUAAUCUUGAUGCUUCAACCAGAUUUCACUCAGGAUCACUUCUCUUUCUUCUGGAGAUUUUCGUUAUAAGCUGCUUCGAGAGAACACCACAAGUAUAUAUAAAAUUGGGUAAACACAUCAAUACAGAACCAAAGCUCAAAGAUAACCAAACCAGAAAAGAGAUGAGAGGGAAAGAGAUACAAACACGAGAGAUUACAAGGUUCACCACCAAAAUUUGGGGUUACAUCCUUGGUGAGCUACCUCAGAGAAAGCUCGAGUCAAAUCCAUUAUCAAGAUCACUGUUUACAACAGAUUUCUGGAGAUUUCAGCCACAAGUCAGCUGAUAAUCUUGAUGCUUCAACCAGGUAUGAAUCAAAAACUCUCAAUCACUCUUUCUUUCUCUUUUCUUCUCUCUGGAUUGAACCGAUCCCUCACUUUUUUCUUCUCUCUAACACUUCUCUUUCUUUCUCUCAACUUGAGAGCUUCUCUCACUAGAUUUCACUCAGGAUCACUUCUCUUUCUUCUGGAGAUUUUCGUUAUAAGCUGUAAGUGUUUAUGAACUCUCCU
Long non-coding RNA from Humulus lupulus (European hop), 858 nucleotides. RefSeq lists it as uncharacterized. NCBI's taxonomy places the organism in Eukaryota, Viridiplantae, Streptophyta, Magnoliopsida, Rosales, Cannabaceae. The record is from RefSeq and is a predicted model, not a curated record. The transcript has 3 exons.